Molecule: ribosomal RNA, 519 nt
Filed under: uncultured eukaryote
Lineage: Eukaryota
Description: SSU rRNA
Rfam family: Eukaryotic small subunit ribosomal RNA
Source: RNAcentral
AGGGCACCACCAGGAGUGGAGCCUGCGGCUUAAUUUGACUCAACACGGGAAAACUCACCCGGCCCGGACACCGUAAGGAUUGACAGACUGAGAGCUCUUUCUUAAUUCGGUGGGUGGUGGUGCAUGGCCGUUCUUAGUUGGUGGAGCGAUUUGUCUGGUUAAUUCCGAUAACGAACGAGACUCUGGCCUAUUAAAUAGACGGUAUAUUUAAAAGUAUAUCGCACUUCUUAGAGGGACAAGCGGCGUCUAGCCGCAUGAAAUAGAGCAAUAACAGGUCUGUGAUGCCCUUAGAUGUCCGGGGCUGCACGCGCGCUACACUGAAGGAAUCAGUGGGCGUGAUACCUAGUUCGGAAGAACCGGGUAACCCAAGUAAAUUCUUUCGUGCUUGGGAUAGGGAAUUGCAAUUAUUUCCCUUAAACGAGGAAUUCCCAGUAAAUGCGGGUCAUAAGCUCGCGUCGAUUACGUCCCUGCCCUUUGUACACACCGCCCGUCGCUACUACCGAUUGGAUGACUUAGUGA